GGCCACAUGCUCCGAGAAACUGCUCACUUUAUGACAUCAUACAGAGACGGAACUCUUAAAGUGGGUAAAGGAGAAGGAAAGUUUUCUGGCACGUCUCAGACUUGACAAAGAAAAGUACAUUUUACGGGAACAGUAAACCAUUACCGGUGCUCUGCUUUUACGUUUACCAUCGGAAAUGAUUGUAGUUAUUUAAAUGAGGAGUUCUAUAAAAAUCUGAAGAAAUGUGCUGCCCCGCUCAUUAAAUGUAAAGAAAAUUUGAUAAAAAACGGACCUUUUCACGGUUGCCUAUGGUACUAGGUGUUACACAAAUUGGGCUGGUACUGAUAAUGACGAGCAUUGUUCUGUGGCUGAAGCAUGUGCCUCAGUGUAUCUGAGUGUCCGAACUAUGCAGAUAGAAUCACGACUGAAGUAUCCCAUUGCCUCAGGGUGGUUGAGUAUCGCAUGAUUUUAUUAAAACGGGGUUUUAACCGUACAUAGGUCCCCACCUUUAGUAAUGCGAAAAGGAAGGACGUGUUUUCUUCGUCCUUGUCCUAAUGAAUUCAAGUCAGAUUCAGCCAGAUAAGGACCUCCCUUCAGCCUUGGUGUGAGAAAGGAGACAACCAGUUCCGUCCUGAAUGUGCAGGACAACACCUGGAAACAACACGUUUCCCAACACGUUGGGGCGUCUGCACUGAAUUAUUCUGUUACUCAACUCCUGUAACUGAAGAGGAUUUCAGCAGAACAUGGCCAGGGCAGCCACAGCUGAGAGAUCUCUGGACAGAGUGAACCAAACAAGAUGAUGAGAGAACCAUUAAAGAACUGUGAUCUUAAGAUUGUGUGUGUUGAAGUAUGCUUACAGUCUGAGUCAAAAAAUUUUCAACAUCAGUAAAGAAGAUUAUGAAGGAAGGAGAAGCACAUAUGAUAUAUUUUAGAGGAUCAAAGUGGAUGAGCAGCCAAGAACCGCUCAAAGCAGUUCCUCUCAGACAACACAGCUUUCCAGCUGAGCCCCUCAGGAAUUCCACAGCAUUUCAGGCAUCUCGUGCUGCGUCAGUGGACAGUGCUCCCACGUCUCAUACAGGUGACAGCUGCCUUUGUCAGGAAACUGCAGAAACUGCUCUUUUUCUUUUACAAACAGCUGCACAGUUACUCAGAAAUAACCCUCUAGGUUAAUCAUCUAGUCUUUCUAAAAGAAGGUCACCUUCCUUUGGAAAUUUGUUUAAAAAUAACAUUAAAUAAUAACACGUAAAAGUUAAUUACAUGUAACUGACUUCCAUAAUUACUUUUUGUCAUUGCACAGUACUUUAAGCAGAGUGCUUUUAAACCCACAAUAACAUUAUCAUGUACUAUGUACACACAGCUGUGAAAAUGUCUAACAAGUUGAGAAUAUUCUACUAAAUUAAAUAUUAAUUUAUACUCUUAACAUUAUGGAUUAUGUGCCAGUAAAUGCAUUCUGACAAUCCAGAUCAAAGCCACUGAAACAUUAAAGUAAAACAUCAAAUGCUAGAUGAGUUACUGUCUCUAAUCUGCUUAAGACAGCAGACUGCACAGAUUCAACUUUGACUAAGUAACAACAUUUUCAACUGAAUACAUUUGGGCUUCCUUCAGGCCUUGUCUUGUGCUAGUGGAUAUCCUGGAGCAUUGACUUAACUCCUGUUCUUCUUUUGCUCAGUGUAAUUAGAACAGUACUUGUGUAUCCAGACAGUGGUUAUGAAAAUUGCUCUGGCUGUGCCACUACAUGCAUAAACUGGAGCAAGUUCCACUAAUUGAAAGACCUCAAUUUCUUUCAGGGAUAAGAUCAAAGUGGAAAGAAAGAGAAAAGAACAGAGUGCGUAAUAAAUUCACAGGCAUCCACCAAAGCCAGUCUUGGCUGGCUUUCGUCUGCUAUUGUUUUCACAGAGAACUCUCUUCUUGGGCACAAUACAAACACUGUUACCUAAGAAUCACUGUGAUGCAGAUGGCAUCAGUAUCCAUAUUCAAAAGAAACGUCACUAUUCCCAGAUCAAUCUGAGCAAAAGAAAUAGAAAAGAGCUUCGUGCCUCAUUAGUUGUUGUAUUGUUUUUAGCACCAAAGAAAUCAGACAAGAGGUGCUGCUCCAUCUCUACAUAAAAGCAGAACAGCGUUAAAGACAACACAUCUAAGUUUGUUAAUGUGGCUGCAUGACUGUGACCAAGAGGCAAGUUAAUUUUUCGUCUUUUUUUAUAUAGCUGGCACUGUGCCUUGGCCUAUAUAAAGGGGGGAUUUAUGUCACAGCAGAUGGUCUUACUUGCUGUCUUUUAUAAGUAGAUCUUGUAAACAAUCAGUUUAUGUAAAAACAGAACUUGUGCGUAGUACAUCAUCAGUUUUUGAUGGUCACACUGGGGGAUUAAGUGUUCACUUCUAAGAAUCUUCUCAUUAAUAUCCAUGUCAGUGCAAGAAUCUUACUGAAAAACAUCUAUGGCAUGCUGCGUCUCCAUAACCAAAUGGUUCCGAGACUUUUAUCAUCCAUGGCAGACACUGGAGAAUGCGUUACAAAUUUCUUUUCCCUUCUGUGCUUUUUAAAGAAAGCCAUGCUUCCCGGUGACAGCAGCUGUCUGUCUUUACCCAAUUCAUAAUUCGUAGGUGAGGCAACCGUGGUGACAUUUUCCAUGACCUUGUCCCCAACCAGAAGGAAGCGGAAUGAUUGCUGGGAAGUGUGUCUUUUCCAGGGAGGAGAGCGGGAUUCCAGCUUGUUGUUUCCAUGCAGAAGGAAGCCACAGCUGGGCAUCCGGAAGGGAAAGCAGAAGCCUCAGCAUAGCCUACUGCUUUUAUCCCCAGCAGGGAAGGCAAGAGCAAUCUGCAUAAAUCAACUCCUGACACGUGUGC
This is a long non-coding RNA of Lepisosteus oculatus (spotted gar), 2820 nucleotides long. RefSeq lists it as uncharacterized. The record is from RefSeq and is a predicted model, not a curated record. Lineage: Eukaryota; Metazoa; Chordata; Actinopteri; Semionotiformes; Lepisosteidae.